GACGAACGCUGGCGGUGUGCUUAACACAUGCAAGUCGAACGGUAAGGCCCUUUCGGGGGUACACGAGUGGCGAACGGGUGAGUAACACGUGAGUAACCUGCCCUCAUCUCUGGGAUAACAGUCGGAAACGGUUGCUAAUACUGGAUAUGAGCCUGCAAGGCAUCUUGUGGGUUGGAAAGAUUUUUUGGUUGGGGAUGGACUCGCGGCCUAUCAGCUUGUUGGUGAGGUAGUGGCUCACCAAGGCUUCGACGGGUAGCCGGCCUGAGAGGGCGACCGGCCACAUUGGGACUGAGAUACGGCCCAAACUCCUACGGGAGGCAGCAGUGGGGAAUAUUGCACAAUGGACGGAAGUCUGAUGCAGCAACGCCGCGUGCGGGAUGACGGCCUUCGGGUUGUAAACCGCUUUCAAUUGUGACGAAGCUUUUUGAGACG
RNAcentral lists this ribosomal RNA (432 nucleotides) under Arachnia propionica. RNAcentral's name for it is "bacterial SSU rRNA". It matches the Rfam family "Bacterial small subunit ribosomal RNA", at positions 28 to 462 of the family's 1533-position model. The record is from RNAcentral. Lineage: Bacteria; Bacillati; Actinomycetota; Actinomycetes; Propionibacteriales; Propionibacteriaceae.